UGGUCUGUUGUGUAAUGGUAGCACAGAAGAUUUUGGUUCUUUUAGUCAGGGUUCGAAUCCUUGCAGACCAU
RNAcentral lists this transfer RNA (71 nucleotides) under Spirosomataceae bacterium. Its description in RNAcentral is "tRNA-Gln". It matches the Rfam family "tRNA". From Rfam's summary of the family: Transfer RNA (tRNA) molecules are approximately 80 nucleotides in length. Their secondary structure includes four short double-helical elements and three loops (D, anti-codon, and T loops). The record is from RNAcentral. Lineage: Bacteria; Pseudomonadati; Bacteroidota; Cytophagia; Cytophagales; Spirosomataceae.